GUCUACGGCCACGUCACCCUGAACAAGCCCGAUCCUGUCAGAUCUUGGAAGCAGGGAUGAGCCUGGUUAGUACUUGGAUGGGAGAUCACCUA
RNAcentral lists this ribosomal RNA (92 nucleotides) under Pteropus alecto (black flying fox). The record is from RNAcentral. Lineage: Eukaryota; Metazoa; Chordata; Mammalia; Chiroptera; Pteropodidae.